GGAAACGGUGGCUAAUACCGCAUAAUGUCUACGGACCAAAGCAGGGGCUCUUCGGACCUUGCACUAUCGGAUGAACCCAUAUGGGAUUAGCUAGUAGGUGGGGUAAAGGCUCACCUAGGCGACGAUCUCUAGCUGGUCUGAGAGGAUGAUCAGCCACACUGGGACUGAGACACGGCCCAGACUCCUACGGGAGGCAGCAGUGGGGAAUAUUGCACAAUGGGCGCAAGCCUGAUGCAGCAUGCCGCGUGUAUGAAGAAGGCCUUAGGGUUGUAAAGUACUUUCAGCGGGGAGGAAGGUGAUAAGGUUAAUACCCUUGUCAAUUGACGUUACCCGCAAAAAAAGCACCGGCUAACUCCGUGCCAGCACCCGCGGUAAUACGGAGGGUGCAAGCGUUAAUCGGAAUUACUGGGCGUAAAGCGCACGCAGGCGGUCAAUUAAGUCAGAUGUGAAACCCCCGAGCUUAACUUGGGAAUUGCAUCUGAAACUGGUUGGCUAGAGUCUUGUAGAGGGGGGUAGAAUUCCAUGUGUAGCGGUGAAAUGCGUAGAGAUGUGGAGGAAUACCGGUGGCGAAGG
This 573-nucleotide ribosomal RNA is filed under the name Proteus mirabilis. RNAcentral describes it as "bacterial SSU rRNA". It matches the Rfam family "Bacterial small subunit ribosomal RNA", at positions 152 to 721 of the family's 1533-position model. Lineage: Bacteria; Pseudomonadati; Pseudomonadota; Gammaproteobacteria; Enterobacterales; Morganellaceae. The record is from RNAcentral.